This 465-nucleotide ribosomal RNA is filed under the name uncultured bacterium. Its description in RNAcentral is "partial 16S ribosomal RNA". It matches the Rfam family "Bacterial small subunit ribosomal RNA", at positions 28 to 507 of the family's 1533-position model. The record is from RNAcentral.
GACGAACGCUGGCGGCGUGCUUAACACAUGCAAGUCGAACGGAAAGGCCCUGCUUGCAGGGUACUCGAGUGGCGAACGGGUGAGUAACACGUGGGUGAUCUGCCCUGCACUUCGGGAUAAGCUUGGGAAACUGGGUCUAAUACCGGAUAGGACCGCACUUUAGUGUGUGUGGUGGAAAGUUUUUUCGGUGUAGGAUGAGCUCGCGGCCUAUCAGCUUGUUGGUGGGGUAAUGGCCUACCAAGGCGGCGACGGGUAGCCGGCCUGAGAGGGUGUACGGCCACAUUGGGACUGAGAUACGGCCCAGACUCCUACGGGAGGCCGCAGUGGGGAAUAUUGCACAAUGGGCGCAAGCCUGAUGCAGCGACGCCGCGUGGGGGAUGAAGGCCUUCGGGUUGUAAACUCCUUUCGCUAGGGACGAAGCUUUUUGUGACGGUACCUAGAUAAGAAGCACCGGCUAACUACGUG